CAUCUAAUAAAUGAGACACUGGUCUCAUUACAUCCAGUGGUGCCCAAUCUCUACACUCUUCUUUCAUAAAUUCCAGAAACAGCAGCAUGGGUUACUGUAUCACAUUUAAAAGAUGCCUUUAAAAAAAUAAAUAAAUAAAAUAAAAUAAAAGAUGCCUUUAUUCUGCAUUUCCUUGACUAAGGCUUUGCAUAUAUAAAUUCUCAAAAUAUGGAAGGUAACUAACUGGCCAGAAUUAAUUUUAGUUUCAAGUAAACUGGGAAACAUUCAGUAUUAAAUUAGUAUCUUAAAUUAGAAUUGAAGUUUGCUGAUCUAAUUAAAACACACAUGUCGUUACAGCUGUCAACAUUAGGUAUGAUAUCUUAGUGUACCUAGGUUUAACAGAAGUCAAAUGAGACACUGAAACAUCAGUUACUAAACAGAAACUAAAGAUAUUUAGAAUAACUAAUCAAUAUGAUCAGUGCCACCCUGAAUGGUCUCCAUAAGAAAAACAUGUGUUUUUAGAAAUUAUAAAGGACAGUCUGUGGUUGCUUUAGAAAAGUAGAAAGUGUGUGCUUUCAAUAUAGAAGGAAUGAGGGAUGGAACUGCAUUUUAUUAAGGCAAAAGAAAGAUAGUCUGUCUUCAGCUGAUUGCUCUGGUUGGAAAAUAAGGGACAGACUAAUAUGGAUACAGAAAGUGAUACAAGAUGUAUGGGAAGUGGACACUGAGAAGAGAAUUUUGUGCAUGGUGGGGACUGUCUAGAACAUAUUUGAGUAAGUUAACUUUAAAAGUAAUGUGGUGCCAUAAAUCAUACUGCUCACAAGGACAUAAGGUAGCUUGCAAUUACAUGUUGACCAAGGCAUACAAAUAUUUCAUAACCAACCAGAGAAAUCAGAAAAAUCAUACAGUUACCUGUGCUAUUAUAAAAUCUAAAUGUUGUAUUCCUGAUUGUUCACAGAAUGUGUCUAAUUCCCUGCUAGAUCUUCAACAGUAGAUUCAUGAGGUGUCCUACCCAGCUCCAGCUUUUGGAGCUGCCCUGUGGAACCAGAUGACCUCCUCCUCCUGGUGAAAAUACUUCUUCACCAUAUCCUUUUAUUCAGACCCUGUAUAAUUAACUGAAUUUCUUGCUUCAUUACAUCCUGAUUAAAAGCUAUCAACCUUCAAAUGUUGAUAGAAGGAGUACCCAAAGCAAUGUAUCAAAGCCCACUUGACUGUCCCAUGAGUGGAGACCUAACUGCUUUCCCUAACAACACCCCUUUUCAGCAGGAAGAAGUCAGAGUGGUCAUCACCCCUUUUCCCCACAGUUAGAGUCUCCAACUCGCGGGGGGGAUUGAGGCAGAAUAUUAACUCAGGUAGUCAGUGUAGGAACAUGGGCUUCGAUACAUUCUUUGAUGUGGCUAUUGGUUAACAUUUGUAAAUUAAGGGUCGCAUAGCAAUCCCAACCGCUAUAAAGGUUACAGGUAUUACCCCAUGGAUCCAUCACACCAGAAUAAAGAAGGCUGCUCCUGCCACUGACACAGACACCUGGGAAGCUGUCCGGCACCCUGAGAACCCCCCUCAGGAUCAAGUUCCAGAGACAUUUGGCACCAGAGGAUGGCAGGCCCUGCUCUGGUCACACCCAGAAGCUGGCCAGUCUACGCACAGCAGAAACUUGAGGAAUCUACAGCACUGCCCCAGCCACAUACUGGAAGUUGGUUGGUUUGUACAAGUGGAGGCCAGAGGAUCUCCAUGCAAACUUGAACUGAACUCAUGCUCUGGUGGGGAAUAUUGGUAAUUGAAAUUGCCAUCGCCCUUAUAUUUGGAGUGGGGCUAUAUGCAGUAUCCCCUUCAGAAUGGGGACAGGGAGCCCAACUACUCAUCUGUGUGAUGUAUCGCCUGACUGUCAGUAUACUAGAAUCCCUGUUCAUAAUGGGUCAGUGAAAAGGAUUAAGGGAAUCAUAGUUCUGCUAACACCCUGCUGCUCACUCCAGGGCAACAGACUGGGACGAUGAUCUAUGGGAUGGGACAGGAUUAACAGAUGCUUACCAGUGCCUCCCUGCUAAUUGGACAGGGACCUGCACUCUAGCCUUUGUCACUCCUCAAAUAGAUAUUGUCCCUGGGAAUCAGUCCCUUAUGGUGCCCAUAGAGGCACAUGGCAGAACAAGACAGCAAUGCAAAUUAUCCCCUUAUUUAGUUGGUUUGGGAAUUUCAGCAGGGACAGGAGCAGGAGUGGGAGGAAUAGCAUCCUCCACUGCUUAUUAUCAUCAGUUAUCUAAAGAAUUCACAGAUGAGUGGAACAAGUAGCCCCUUCCCUAGCAGCCUUACAGGAUUAGGUAGACUCUCGGCAGAAGUGGCCCUUCAAAACAGGAGAGCACUGGACUUAUUCACUGCUGAAAAAGGGGGACUUUGCCUGAUGAAGAAUGCUGUCUUUAUGCCAGCAGAUCUGGAAUUGUCAGAAACAUGGACCAACAACUAAAAGAACACAUAGCAAAGAGAAGGGACGAAUUAGAUAACUCCUGGUUAAAUUGGGGUAACUACUGGAGUUGGGUGGCAUGGCUCAUGCCUUUGGCUGGGCCCCUCCUUAUGCUCUUCAUAGCCCUCACAUUUGGCCCCUGUAUCCUGAACUAUCUUGUCAUGUUUGUCUCCUCAUGCCUAGAAUCUAUAAAGCUACAAACGGUGGUGAUGUCCGGGCCACACUUAUAUCAGCCCCUGGGCCAAGAGGACCAGGAAGGUUGAUGCUUGUUCCAAAAAUGUGAAAAAGCAUCAAGAGAGGGGAAUGUAGGAGAAAAUAUCCCAAUAAAAAUGUAGAAAGGAGGAGUUCCCGUCGUGGCGCAGUGCUUAACGAAUCCGACUAGGAACCAUGAGGUUGCGGGUUCGGUCCCUGCCCUUGCUCAGUGGGUUAACGAUCCGGCGUUGCCGUGAGCUGUGGUGUAGGUCGCAGACGCGGCUUGGAUCCCGCGUUGCUGUGGCUCUGGCAUAGGCUGGCAGCUACAGCUCCGAUUAGACCCCUAGCCUGGGAACCUCCAUAUGCGCGGGAGCGGCCCAAGAAAUAGCAACAACAACAACAACAACAAAAG
RNAcentral lists this long non-coding RNA (3032 nucleotides) under Sus scrofa (pig). Its description in RNAcentral is "lncRNA (ENSSSCG00000060005.1)". Lineage: Eukaryota; Metazoa; Chordata; Mammalia; Artiodactyla; Suidae. The record is from RNAcentral.